GAUCCUGGCUCAGGAUGAACGCUAGCGGCAGGCUUAACACAUGCAAGUCGAGGGGCAUCGGGAGUAGCAAUACUGCCGGCGACCGGCGCAAGGGUGCGUAACGCGUGAGCAACAUGCCCGUAUCAGGGGGAUAAUCCAUGGAAACGUGGUCUAAUACCCCAUAGUAAUUAUGUAAGGCAUCUUAUAUAAUUUAAAGCUUUGGUGGAUACGGAUUGGCUCGCGUGACAUUAGCUGGAUGGUAAGGUAACGGCUUACCAUGGCUACGAUGUCUAGGGGUUCUGAGAGGAAGGUCCCCCACACUGGAACUGAGACACGGUCCAGACUCCUACGGGAGGCAGCAGUGAGGAAUAUUGGACAAUGGAUGGAAAUCUGAUCCAGCCAUGCCGCGUGCAGGAAGACGGCCCUAUGGGUUGUAAACUGCUUUUGUAUGGGAGCAAUAAGGGCUACGUGUAGUCCGAUGAGAGUACCAUACGAAUAAGCACCGGCUAACUCCGUGCCAGCCGCCGC
RNAcentral lists this ribosomal RNA (507 nucleotides) under uncultured bacterium. RNAcentral describes it as "bacterial SSU rRNA". It matches the Rfam family "Bacterial small subunit ribosomal RNA", at positions 15 to 518 of the family's 1533-position model. The record is from RNAcentral.